AGUUUGAUCCUGGCUCAGGAUGAACGCUAGCUACAGGCUUAACACAUGCAAGUCGAGGGGAAACGACAUCGAAAGCUUGCUUUUGAUGGGCGUCGACCGGCGCACGGGUGAGUAACGCGUAUCCAACCUGCCCACCACUUGGGAAUAACCUUGCGAAAGUAAGACUAAUACCCAAUGACGUCUCUAGAAGACAUCUGAAAGAGAUUAAAGAUUUAUCGGUGAUGGAUGGGGAUGCGUCUGAUUAGCUUGUUGGCGGGGUAACGGCCCACCAAGGCUACGAUCAGUAGGGGUUCUGAGAGGAAGGUCCCCCACAUUGGAACUGAGACACGGUCCAAACUCCUACGGGAGGCAGCAGUGAGGAAUAUUGGUCAAUGGACGAGAGUCUGAACCAGCCAAGUAGCGUGCAGGAUGACGGCCCUAUGGGUUGUAAACUGCUUUUAUAAGGGAAUAAAGUGAGUCUCGUGAGACUUUUUGCAUGUACCUUAUGAAUAAGGACCGGCUAAUUCCGUGCCAGCAGCCGCGGUAAUACGGAAGGUCCGGGCGUUAUCCGGAUUUAUUGGGUUUAAAGGGAGCGUAGGCCGGAGAUUAAGCGUGUUGUGAAAUGUAGAUGCUCAACAUCUGCACUGCAGCGCGAACUGGUUUCCUUGAGUACGCACAAAGUGGGCGGAAUUCGUGGUGUAGCGGUGAAAUGCUUAGAUAUCACGAAGAACUCCGAUUGCGAAGGCAGCUCACUGGAGCGCAACUGACGCUGAAGCUCGAAAGUGCGGGUAUCGAACAGGAUUAGAUACCCUGGUAGUCCGCACGGUAAACGAUGGAUGCCCGCUGUUGGUCUGAAUAGGUCAGCGGCCAAGCGAAAGCAUUAAGCAUCCCACCUGGGGAGUACGCCGGCAACGGUGAAACUCAAAUGAAUUGACGGAAGGGCGU
This 924-nucleotide ribosomal RNA is filed under the name uncultured bacterium. RNAcentral's name for it is "bacterial SSU rRNA". It matches the Rfam family "Bacterial small subunit ribosomal RNA", at positions 10 to 924 of the family's 1533-position model. The record is from RNAcentral.